UACAGAGGUCUCAAGCGUUGUUCGGAUUCAUUGGGCGUAAAGGGUGCGUAGGCGGCGUGGUAAGUCUGAUGUGAAAUCCCGGGGCUCAACCUCGGAACUGCAUUGGAUACUGCCAUGCUUGAGUACUGGAGAGGAGACUGGAAUUUACGGUGUAGCAGUGAAAUGCGUAGAUAUCGUAAGGAAGACCAGUGGCGAAGGCGAGUCUCUGGACAGUUACUGACGCUGAGGCACGAAGGCCAGGGGAGCAAACGGG
RNAcentral lists this ribosomal RNA (253 nucleotides) under uncultured bacterium. RNAcentral describes it as "partial 16S ribosomal RNA". It matches the Rfam family "Bacterial small subunit ribosomal RNA", at positions 524 to 776 of the family's 1533-position model. The record is from RNAcentral.